UUGGAUGUGGAGGUUUUUGCAGAUAGCUUCACAGCUUUCUGCUCCUCUUAAAUGAAUUAGCGAGUUUAAACUAGGCUCCAUCUAUUGGUGUGAUAAUUAUCUACGCCGUGGGUUGGGCUUGGACUUGCUUCCAACCGUCUGAAAAGACAAUCUUUUGACUAUUUGACCUCAAAUCAGGUAGGACUACCCGCUGAACUUAA
This 200-nucleotide unclassified non-coding RNA is filed under the name soil metagenome. RNAcentral's name for it is "partial contains internal transcribed spacer 2 and large subunit ribosomal RNA". The record is from RNAcentral.